GAACACACGUGGUCAAGGAGAAGAUCCUAAGGUUAGCGAGUGAACUAUAGCUAAGGAACUCUGCAAAUUCAUCCCGUAAGUUCGCAAGAAGGGAUGCUCAAUGUAACAGUUGAGCCGCAGUGAAGAACGAGGGGGGACUGUUUAACUAAAACACAGCUCUAUGCUAAAUCGCAAGAUGAUGUAUAUGGGGUGACACCUGCCCAGU
This 205-nucleotide ribosomal RNA is filed under the name Mycoplasmoides gallisepticum. RNAcentral's name for it is "Mycoplasma gallisepticum partial 23S ribosomal RNA". It matches the Rfam family "Bacterial large subunit ribosomal RNA", at positions 1655 to 1867 of the family's 2925-position model. Lineage: Bacteria; Bacillati; Mycoplasmatota; Mycoplasmoidales; Mycoplasmoidaceae. The record is from RNAcentral.